GACGUAGGGUGCGAGCGUUGUCCGGAUUUAUUGGGCGUAAAGAGCUCGUCGGCGGCUCGUCGCGUCAGCUGUGAAAACCCGCGGCUUAACCGUGGGCUUGCAGCUGAUACGGGCGGGCUAGAGUUCGGUAGGGGAGACUGGAAUUCCUGGUGUAGCGGUGAAAUGCGCAGAUAUCAGGAGGAACACCGGUGGCGAAGGCGGGUCUCUGGGCCGAUACUGACGCUGAGGAGCGAAAGCGUGGGGAGCGAACAGG
This 253-nucleotide ribosomal RNA is filed under the name uncultured bacterium. RNAcentral describes it as "partial 16S ribosomal RNA". It matches the Rfam family "Bacterial small subunit ribosomal RNA", at positions 524 to 776 of the family's 1533-position model. The record is from RNAcentral.